GUGAAUCAUCAAAUUUUUGAACGCAAAUUGCACUCUCUUCGGAGAGUAUGCCUGUUUGAGGGUCAGCCUAAAAAAAAAUCGACAUAGUCGCUGUUUCGCGGUGAUUUUCGCCGGAAAUUGGGUUUUCUUAAACCUUUGGGCAUUAAGCGGCUUUAAAUUUUCUUUACGAUUCCACGAAAGUUUCUAAGUUUUACUUAUAAUACGUUUAAGGUAUCGAUCUUUAUUAGACGUGGCCGUUGCAUAGGAACUCGUACCUAAAUAUUUUGUUCA
RNAcentral lists this unclassified non-coding RNA (270 nucleotides) under Glomus sp. RNAcentral's name for it is "partial contains 5.8S ribosomal RNA and internal transcribed spacer 2". The stretch from base 1 to 65 matches the Rfam family "5.8S ribosomal RNA", at positions 84 to 154 of the family's 154-position model. Lineage: Eukaryota; Fungi; Glomeromycota; Glomeromycetes; Glomerales; Glomeraceae. The record is from RNAcentral.